This is a long non-coding RNA of Misgurnus anguillicaudatus (oriental weatherfish), 567 nucleotides long. RefSeq lists it as uncharacterized. The record is from RefSeq and is a predicted model, not a curated record. Lineage: Eukaryota; Metazoa; Chordata; Actinopteri; Cypriniformes; Cobitidae.
UUAGAUUAUAUCUCUGGGGCUGCUGCUGGAUCUCUGAUGAUUGUAGCAGCAAUUUUGAUGUUCUGCAUCUGUAGGAAACACAAAGACACAUAUCAAGAGGUUCAGACUGGUGAAGAUGAGAUCACAUAUGCAGAUACAACAUUCCAUAAACGAAAAAUGCAUAAACAGGGAUCUGAGGAUGAUGAGGUGUAUUCUCAGUGUGAGUUUAAAGUUUUUCCUUUGUGAAUUAUAUUACAUGAAGCAAUUAUUACACGUGAGACGUCUGUUUACUCUCCAUCACAUUUGCAAGCAUAAUACACACCAGAAAGCAAAUGUCAACAUAAUUUCUCCAUGCCUAAAAUAAUGUUAAUAGCAGUUUUAAAAAGAACUGUACAACAUCAGAAACUCUGUGAUCAAAAUAUAUAUAAAUAAAUGUGUAUAGACUCAAAGUAUUUGUUUUUAAAACACAAACAUGUUUUUUUUUUCUGUCACAAUAUGCAUCUGACACAUUAACACUUUCAUUCGUGUUUAAGUGAAAUGUGAAGUGGAAAGAAAUGUGGUUUUGUUGUACUGAUGGACGUGAGAUAU